Long non-coding RNA from Balaenoptera ricei (Rice's whale), 644 nucleotides. RefSeq lists it as uncharacterized. The record is from RefSeq and is a predicted model, not a curated record. NCBI's taxonomy places the organism in Eukaryota, Metazoa, Chordata, Mammalia, Artiodactyla, Balaenopteridae. The transcript is spliced from 4 exons.
GAGAGGGGAGCUUGGGAAAGUCUGCGAGGAAACCUCCCGUGUUUCGCUCUCUGCUCGGGAGGACCAACUUGUCCCCCUUGUAGGGGCCUUGCCGCCAACGAUGUAUGCGAAGGAACAGUAAAACGGAAAUUUUACCGUUCAACGGUCGCAAGACUAUUUAGAGGAAAAAAGUGUCACAGUUUGGUAAGAAGAUCCAAGGGCACGAUCAACAGCUCGUGCACUGCCUUGGUGUGGACCCAGAGUUCAAGCACAGACGAAGAUCAGACACUGACUUCACACUUCUGAUAGAUCCUGUGAAACCUUAGUAUAGUAUUUCUCUCCUGCUGGUGGAAGAGAGAAGCACAAGACUAAAAGCUCUCUGGUUUUCAGCCUCUGAUAGUAAGGGGACACGGGUUUGAUCCUUGGUCCGGGAAGAUCCCACAUGCUGCGGAGCAACUAAACCCGUGUGCCACAACUACUGAGCCUGCGCUCCAGAGGCCGUGAGCCACAACUACUGAAGCCCGCAUGCCACAACUACUGAAACCCAUGAGCCUAGAGCCCGUGCUCUGCAACAGGAGAAGCCACCGCAGUGAGAAGCCCGCGACCCGCAACGAAGAGUAGCCCUUGCUCACUGCAGCUAGAGGAAGCCUGCAUGCAGCAACGAA